Gasterosteus aculeatus aculeatus (three-spined stickleback) is the source of this 2033-nucleotide long non-coding RNA. Lineage: Eukaryota; Metazoa; Chordata; Actinopteri; Perciformes; Gasterosteidae. The record is from Ensembl.
UGUAUCAUUACUUGAAACAUCCCAAUCCUCCAAAGCGGCAUUGUAUAGUAUUGACAAUUGUACUUUGUCAUAGGAUUUAUUUAAAUUGUGUCCCACAUGCGUGUAACGUGGACACGCGUCAGGUGCGUGUAACCCGCUGUGAACCCACGUUAGCCCACGUGCAACGAGACGAGAUGAAAGCAAAGUGCUGCUGCAUUUAAAAUGAUUUGGUCAACUUACCUCCAUGUGGCCUCAAUGGGGGAGCAGCGACCUCGCAGCCAAAUCCAGCUCGAUAAACAAUGUCAACCUGAAUAUUUCCGUUUUCUGCUUGAACAUGUUAUAGUUUGAACUCAGUUCUUUUUUCAAUGAAAUAUUUUUUUUCAAUCUUCACUUUUUUUUAAUAUUUGCUGCAUUGUAAUUUUCAGUUGCAGAUUUUAUGCUUUCAGAUUAAAAUGUUGUAAAAAAGUUUUUUUUUUUUCACAUUGAGACUUUUGACCCUGAUGUUGAUGUUUAUAUAUAAGUAUUAUGUAAUAAGUAUUAUACAAAUACUAUACAGAUUAUUUCAGAGUUUACAUGAAAGCUUGACUAUUUUAAGCCACCAUCAUAAAUUAUGGUGGAGGAAAUUGCUCAAUAAAUGAAUGAAAUCAUAUUUCCAAUUGUCUCGGCCUAGUAAUGGUAUUAUUUAGAAACUCUAGGAUGUUGCUCUCUGUGGUACGUAAAACUACACAUCGUAAACUACGAGUCAUAUUGGUCCCUUUUCUGGCAUCAGGUGAAGAGAAGAACUUGAUAAAAACAGGUUAUAGUGGUAAAUACUAAGUCAGAAAGUCUCUUACACCCGGAUUUAAAAUCCAGUUGAAGCUAUUUGAAACUGUUCUUCCAACACACAAUGUGCAGCAUUGCAUGACACACGUGUCACUGACACGUGUCCGUCACAGUGACGGACGUGUGAACAACACCAGGAGCCUGAACCCGAGCAGCUCCGCUCAUUCCUUCCCUUCUUCCAUCCAUCACACGUCAGAAGGUCUGCUGCUGACAUGAUCCACGUCUCCACAGAGCAGAGCGGGGCGAAGAGGGCGCCCCUCGGUGUUCGUCAACAGUAACUACAUACUGACGAUAGUGCAUGUACUCUGUGUCGGACUUGAAAUAUGUGUUUCCGGUGCAGAGAGGAAAAAAAGGCUUUAAUUAUAACUUUUGGUCACUUGCAUAUCUGUCUGAUAUCAUUUUACUAGUGAGAGAUGGAUGUAGGUUCUGCACACGUUCAGCCUGAUGUAACGUAAAAACGAUGAUUAGAAAAACAAACUGGUGAUACGGUAUCUUUUAGUCGUGUGAUUGUGUCUUUUUAUAACCACAUUUUGCUUCACCAUCAUCCAAUUUAACGCUUCUGCUAAACUCAUUUAACAUAUAUCUGGAUAGAUGUAUUUACGUGUGUAUAUCUGGAUAGAUGUAUUUACGUGUGUAUAUCUGGAUAGAUGUAUUUACGGGUGGAUAUCUGGAUAGAUGUAUUUACGGUGCUGAAUCCACGUGGGAAGAGAAGACCCCGAUCUGUGAGGUUGAGUAACAUGGCGGCGCUGGUCGGACCACCCGUAAGGAUCAGAUAAGUGUUUGUGGCGAGCCUGGCCCGGAUCAGCUGGCACAGGGAAUUACACUGAUGUAGAAGUGCCCGCCCCCCCCCCCGGCCCCCCGGCCCCCGCUGCCUUAUAACCACACUGUUCCCUUGUAAUAGAUUUCAGCAGGUUUUUAGAUUUCCUCUGCCAUUGUUUAUUAUUGUUCCAGAUGACAGAGUGCAGAGUUGAGGGUGGAGGAGCUGAUGGUGGUGCUGCGUUGACGUGCGCGCCUGCUCUGGAUUUCCUACACGUAUGAGAACCAAAUGUCAUGACAGGGAUCAGAGGAAAAUCAUCCAGAUGGAGAUAUGAGAGAGGGCCUUCACAAGCGUGUGUGUCUGUGUCUGUCUGUGUGUGCCUGUGUGUACCUGUGUGUGUCUGUGUAUACCUGUGUGUACCUGUGUGUGUGUACCUGUGUGUGUCUGUGUAUACCGGUGUGUACCUGUGUGUACC